This 495-nucleotide ribosomal RNA is filed under the name uncultured bacterium. RNAcentral describes it as "partial 16S ribosomal RNA". It matches the Rfam family "Bacterial small subunit ribosomal RNA", at positions 28 to 507 of the family's 1533-position model. The record is from RNAcentral.
GACGAACGCUGGCGGCGUGCCUAAUACAUGCAAGUAGAACGCUGAAGGAGGAGCUUGCUCUUCUGGAUGAGUUGCGAACGGGUGAGUAACGCGUAGGUAACCUGCCUGGUAGCGGGGGAUAACUAUUGGAAACGAUAGCUAAUACCGCAUAACAGUAGAUGUUGCAUGACAUUUGCUUAAAAGGUGCAAUUGCAUCACUACCAGAUGGACCUGCGUUGUAUUAGCUAGUUGGUGGGGUAACGGCUCACCAAGGCGACGAUACAUAGCCGACCUGCGAGGGUGAUCGGCCACACUGGGACUGAGACACGGCCCAGACUCCUACGGGAGGCAGCAGUAGGGAAUCGUCGGCAAUGGACGGAAGUCUGACCGAGCAACGCCGCGUGAGUGAAGAAGGUUGUCGGAUCGUAAAGCUCGGUUGUAAGGGAAGAACGAGUGUGAGAGUGGAAAGUUCACACUGUGACGGUAUCUUACCAGAAAGGGACGGCUAACUACGUG